AACGAACGCUGGCGGCAGGCUUAACACAUGCAAGUCGAACGCACCUUUCGGGGUGAGUGGCAGACGGGUGAGUAACGCGUGGGAAUCUACCCUUCUCUACGAGAUAGCUCCGGGAAACUGGAAUUAAUACCGUAUACGUCCUGAGGGAGAAAGAUUUAUCGGGGAAGGAUGAGCCCGCGUUGGAUUAGCUAGUUGGUGGGGUAAAGGCCUACCAAGGCGACGAUCCAUAGCUGGUCUAAGAGGAUGAUCAGCCACAUUGGGACUGAGACACGGCCCAAACUCCUACGGGAGGCAGCAGUGGGGAAUAUUGGACAAUGGGCGCAAGCCUGAUCCAGCCAUGCCGCGUGAGUGAUGAAGGCCCUAGGGUUGUAAAGCUCUUUCAGUGGGGACGAUAAUGACGGUACCCACAGAAGAAGCCCCGGCUAACUUCGUG
RNAcentral lists this ribosomal RNA (433 nucleotides) under uncultured bacterium. RNAcentral's name for it is "partial 16S ribosomal RNA". It matches the Rfam family "Bacterial small subunit ribosomal RNA", at positions 29 to 507 of the family's 1533-position model. The record is from RNAcentral.